This is a long non-coding RNA of Salvelinus fontinalis (brook trout), 923 nucleotides long. RefSeq lists it as uncharacterized. The record is from RefSeq and is a predicted model, not a curated record. The transcript has 2 exons. NCBI's taxonomy places the organism in Eukaryota, Metazoa, Chordata, Actinopteri, Salmoniformes, Salmonidae.
AGGGAUCCAGCUUUUGUCAAAUUAACGUUAUUUAAAAAGAUAUUUUGUAGCUAACCCUAGUCAUGACUAUUUUCCUAACCUUAGCUUAAUUAUACUAACCUGCUGCGUAAAUCCUCCUAACCUGCUAAGAAAAGUCAAAUUUGAUGUUAAUUUUACAAAAGCUGGAUCCCUUCUAACCAUGACCCCCUUUUUUUUGCUGCGGAGUCCAGACGCGUCGAGUCCCCAACAACCGGGUGUAAAGGUUUUCAGGAGAAAUGUUAAGAGAGCCUGUGACACUACUUCUGCUUUUGGACUUUAAUUAAGAAGUGAGCAUUUCUCCUUUGCCAAGAUCAUCCAUCCACCUGACAAGAGUGGCAUAUUAAGAAGCUGAACAGCAUGAUCAUUACACAGGUACACCUUGUGCUGGGACAAUCAACCACCACUCAAAUGUGCAGUUUUGUCACACAACACAAUGCCACAGAUGUUUUAAGUUUGAGGGAGUGUGCAAUUGACAUUCUGACUGCAGGAAUGUCCACCAGAGCUGUUGCCAGAGAAUUGAAUGCUCAUUUCUCUACCAUAAGCUGCCUCCAAUGUCAUUUUUGAGAAUUUGGCAGUAUGCCCAACCAGCCUCACAACUGCCGACCAUGUGUAACCACACCAGCUCAGGAUCUCCACAUCCAGCUUCUUCACCUGCGGGAUCAUCUGAAACCAGCCACCCGGACAACUGAUGAAACUGAGGAGUAUUUCUGUCAGUAAUAAAGCCCUUUUAUGGGGAAAAACUAAUUCUGAUUGGCUGGGCCUGGCUCUCCAGUGGGUGGGCCUGGCUCCCAAUUGGAGGGGCCUAUGCCCAGUCAUGUGAAAUCCAUAGAUUAAGGCCUAAAAAAUGUAUUUCAAUUAACUGAUUUCCUUAUAUGAACUGUAACUCAGUAAAAUCAUUGAAAUUG